AUUUGACUCAACGCGGGGAAUCUUACCGGGUCCGGACACACUGAGGAUUGACAGACAGUUGUCUUUCCCUCCCUUCGGGGUGGGAUUACAAAAGAUAACAGAUCUUUCAUGAUCAUGUGAUGGGUGGUGCAUGGCCGUUCUUAGUUCGUGGAGUGAUCUGUCUGCUUAAUUGCGUUUCAAAUUUUAUAUUUGUUAACAUGCGAGUCUUCAAUGACGGCCGCUCCACCUUAUAGACAUUAUAUGAUAUGCACAUUUGUGUAUUUGAUUAUAACUUGUCUGGAGUCUGGCUCGAUUUUUUUGACUCAAUUGAACGCAACGGACGUGAUUGCAAGUCCUUGUUGAACAAAUUAUAUAUAUACUACUUCAUCAUUAGUAUAUAUAGUUCGCUUCUCAUGUCGUAGCAGUCAAACGGGCGGGCGUCUUAAUUGGCGCGGUCACGAGGCUUAAUAUGCUGCGGCAGGGAAAACUUGGGCGACCGCUGUAAUACUUCUCUCUUAAACCAGAGGAAGAUUGCGGCAAUAACAGG
This 526-nucleotide ribosomal RNA is filed under the name Globigerinella siphonifera. RNAcentral's name for it is "bacterial SSU rRNA". It matches the Rfam family "Eukaryotic small subunit ribosomal RNA", at positions 1193 to 1460 of the family's 1831-position model. The record is from RNAcentral. Lineage: Eukaryota; Foraminifera; Rotaliida; Globigerinidae.